Molecule: long non-coding RNA, 537 nt
Filed under: Salmo salar (Atlantic salmon)
Lineage: Eukaryota; Metazoa; Chordata; Actinopteri; Salmoniformes; Salmonidae
Description: lncRNA (ENSSSAG00000095253.1)
Source: RNAcentral
GCUAUAUACAGGGUGUUACGGUACAGAGUCAAUGUGUAGACUACAUACAGGGGGUACCGGUACAGAGUCAAUGUGGAGACUAUAUACAGGGUGUUACGGUACGGAGUCAAUGUGGAGACUAUAUACAGGGUGUUACGGUACAGAGUCAAUGUGGAGGCUAUAUACAGGGUGUUACGGUACAGAGUCAAUGUGGAGGCUAUAUACAGGGGGUACUGGUACAGAGUCAAUGUGGAGACUAUAUACAGGGGUGUUACGGUACAGAGUCAAUGUGGAGACUAUAUACAGGGGGGUACCAGUACAGAGUCAAUGUGGAGACUAUAUACAGGGGGUACCAGUACAGAGUCAAUGUGGAGGCUAUAUACAGGGGGUACCAGUACAGAGUCAAUGUGGAGACUAUAUACAGGGGGUACCAGUACAGAGUCAAUGUGGAGACUAUAUACAGGGGGGUACCAGUACAGAGUCAAUGUGGAGGCUAUAUACAGGGUGUUACGGUACAGAGUCAAUGUGGAGGCUAUAUACAGGGGGUACCGGUACAGA